RNAcentral lists this ribosomal RNA (960 nucleotides) under Escherichia coli. Its description in RNAcentral is "partial 23S ribosomal RNA". It matches the Rfam family "Bacterial large subunit ribosomal RNA", at positions 1 to 1001 of the family's 2925-position model. Lineage: Bacteria; Pseudomonadati; Pseudomonadota; Gammaproteobacteria; Enterobacterales; Enterobacteriaceae. The record is from RNAcentral.
GGUUAAGCGACUAAGCGUACACGGUGGAUGCCCUGGCAGUCAGAGGCGAUGAAGGACGUGCUAAUCUGCGAUAAGCGUCGGUAAGGUGAUAUGAACCGUUAUAACCGGCGAUUUCCGAAUGGGGAAACCCAGUGUGAUUCGUCACACUAUCAUUAACUGAAUCCAUAGGUUAAUGAGGCGAACCGGGGGAACUGAAACAUCUAAGUACCCCGAGGAAAAGAAAUCAACAGAGAUUCCCCCAGUAGCGGCGAGCGAACGGGGAGGAGCCCAGAGCCUGAAUCAGUGUGUGUGUUAGUGGAAGCGUCUGGAAAGGCGCGCGAUACAGGGUGACAGCCCCGUACACAAAAAUGCACAUGCUGUGAGCUCGAUGAGUAGGGCGGGACACGUGGUAUCCUGUCUGAAUAUGGGGGGACCAUCCUCCAAGGCUAAAUACUCCUGACUGACCGAUAGUGAACCAGUACCGUGAGGGAAAGGCGAAAAGAACCCCGGCGAGGGGAGUGAAAAAGAACCUGAAACCGUGUACGUACAAGCAGUGGGAGCACGCUUAGGCGUGUGACUGCGUACCUUUUGUAUAAUGGGUCAGCGACUUAUAUUCUGUAGCAAGGUUAACCGAAUAGGGGAGCCGAAGGGAAACCGAGUCUUAACUGGGCGUUAAGUUGCAGGGUAUAGACCCGAAACCCGGUGAUCUAGCCAUGGGCAGGUUGAAGGUUGGGUAACACUAACUGGAGGACCGAACCGACUAAUGUUGAAAAAUUAGCGGAUGACUUGUGGCUGGGGGUGAAAGGCCAAUCAAACCGGGAGAUAGCUGGUUCUCCCCGAAAGCUAUUUAGGUAGCGCCUCGUGAAUUCAUCUCCGGGGGUAGAGCACUGUUUCGGCAAGGGGGUCAUCCCGACUUACCAACCCGAUGCAAACUGCGAAUACCGGAGAAUGUUAUCACGGGAGACACACGGCGGGUGCUAA